CCUACGGGGGGCUGCAGUGGGGAAUAUUGGACAAUGGGAGGAACCCUGAUCCAGCCAUGCCGCGUGUGUGAAGAAGGCCCUCGGGUUGUAAAGCACUUUCAGUGAGGAAGAACGCCUGGUGGUUAAUACCCAUCAGGAAAGACAUCACUCACAGAAGAAGCACCGGCUAACUCCGUGCCAGCAGCCGCGGUAAUACGGAGGGUGCGAGCGUUAAUCGGAAUUACUGGGCGUAAAGCGCGCGUAGGUGGCUUGAUAAGCCGGUUGUGAAAGCCCCGGGCUCAACCUGGGAACGGCAUCCGGAACUGUCAAGCUAGAGUGCAGGAGAGGAAGGUAGAAUUCCCGGUGUAGCGGUGAAAUGCGUAGAGAUCGGGAGGAAUACCAGUGGCGAAGGCGGCCUUCUGGACUGACACUGACACUGAGGUGCGAAAGCGUGGGUAGCAAACAGGAUUAGAUACCCGUGUAGUC
Molecule: ribosomal RNA, 465 nt
Filed under: Vreelandella stevensii
Lineage: Bacteria; Pseudomonadati; Pseudomonadota; Gammaproteobacteria; Oceanospirillales; Halomonadaceae
Description: partial 16S ribosomal RNA
Rfam family: Bacterial small subunit ribosomal RNA
Source: RNAcentral